UCACUGACUGAGCAGAGAGAGUUUUUACUUUCAUUUUCUUUCCGACCUGGCUCUGCUGCAAUCUGCAUGUACCGUAUGGACUCUGUAGUGUGAGGCUUCUCGCCUGUAAGCGCACAUGUGGCUGACCUACGUUGCCAGGUCUUCUAGAUCAUGUUAGUGGAGCUACCCUUCCCACCAGUAUGACUACAUUCUGCCCCAUUAGCAUCAAACAAACAACUCUGUAUAAUUAAAAUGAUUGAGGCCUGAUUAUGCCGGCAGGUACUGUAGUGUAUAUGCAUCCUAACUCAGCUGCCUCCUGCCUAGGUGCUCUUCCUCCAAAUUCUAUAGCCACAGUAAUGCAUAAUGGUCACAUACUGUAUAGCCCAUAUUCUAUGUUAUAUCUCACUAUGAUUGUAUGGAACUGUUUCCA
Pseudophryne corroboree (corroboree frog) is the source of this 409-nucleotide long non-coding RNA. RefSeq lists it as uncharacterized. NCBI's taxonomy places the organism in Eukaryota, Metazoa, Chordata, Amphibia, Anura, Myobatrachidae. The record is from RefSeq and is a predicted model, not a curated record. The transcript is spliced from 3 exons.